AGAGUUUGAUCAUGGCUCAGGAUGAACGCUAGCGGCAGGCUUAACACAUGCAAGUCGAACGGUAAGGCUCACUUCGGUGAGUACACGAGUGGCGCACGGGUGCGUAACGCGUAUGCAACCUACCUUUAACAGGAGGAUAGCCCCGAGAAAUUGGGAUUAAUACUCCAUAACAUCAUAAAUAUGCAUAUAUUAAUGAUUAAAGUUCCGACGGUUAAAGAUGGGCAUGCGUGACAUUAGCUAGUUGGUAAGGUAACGGCUUACCAAGGCAACGAUGUCUAGGGGUUCUGAGAGGAUUAUCCCCCACACUGGUACUGAGACACGGACCAGACUCCUACGGGAGGCAGCAGUGAGGAAUAUUGGUCAAUGGACGCAAGUCUGAACCAGCCAUGCCGCGUGCAGGAUGACGGCCCUAUGGGUUGUAAACUGCUUUUAUAUGGGAAGAAUCCCUUUCUCGUGAGGAAGGCUGACGGUACCAUAUGAAUAAGCACCGGCUAACUCCGUGCCAGCAGCCGCGGUAAUACGGAGGGUGCAAGCGUUAUCCGGAUUUAUUGGGUUUAAAGGGUGCGCAGGCGGAUUAAUAAGUCAGUGGUGAAAUCUCAUGGCUCAACCAUGAAACUGCCAUUGAUACUGUUAGUCUAGAGUAUAGAUGAAGUAGGCGGAAUGUAGCAUGUAGCGGUGAAAUGCAUAGAUAUGCUACAGAACUCCAAUUGCGAAGGCAGCUUACUAAGCUAUUACUGACGCUCAGGCACGAAAGCGUGGGUAGCGAACAGGAUUAGAUACCCUGGUAGUCCACGCCGUAAACGAUGAUCACUCGAUGUUGGCGAUACACAGUCAGCGUCCAAGCGAAAGUGUUAAGUGAUCCACCUGGGGAGUACGAUCGCAAGGUUGAAACCCAAAGGAAUUGACGGGGGCCCGCACAAGCGGAGGAGCAUGUGGUUUAAUUCGAUGAUACGCGAGGAACCUUACCUGGGCUUAAAUGUAGAUUGCAUAGGAUGGAAACAUUCUUUUCUUCGGACUAUUUACAAGGUGCUGCAUGGUUGUCGUCAGCUCGUGCCGUGAGGUGUCGGGUUAAGUCCCAUAACGAGCGCAACCCCUAUCCUUAGUUGCCAGCACAUAAUGGUGGGGACUCUAAGGAAACUGCCGGCGCAAGCCGAGAGGAAGGUGGGGAUGACGUCAAAUCAGCACGGCCCUUACGUCCAGGGCUACACACGUGCUACAAUGGCCGAUACAAAGGGCAGCUACCUGGUGACAGGAUGCUAAUCUCGAAAGUCGGUCUCAGUUCGGAUCGAAGUCUGCAACUCGACUUCGUGAAGUUGGAUUCGCUAGUAAUCGUGUAUCAGCCAUGACACGGUGAAUACGUUCCCGGGCCUUGUAUACACCGCCCGUCAAGCCAUGGAAGCUGGGGGUACCUAAAGUCUGUAACCGCAAGGAGCAGCCUAGGGUAAAACUAGUAACUGGGGCUAAGUCGUAACAAGGUA
Molecule: ribosomal RNA, 1478 nt
Filed under: metagenome
Description: bacterial SSU rRNA
Rfam family: Bacterial small subunit ribosomal RNA
Source: RNAcentral